AGUGAACGCUGGCGGUAGGCCUAACACAUGCAAGUCGAACGGCAGCACAGAGGAGCUUGCUCCUUGGGUGGCGAGUGGCGGACGGGUGAGGAAUACAUCGGAAUCUACUCUGUCGUGGGGGAUAACGUAGGGAAACUUACGCUAAUACCGCAUACGACCUACGGGUGAAAGCAGGGGAUCUUCGGACCUUGCGCGAUUGAAUGAGCGGAUGUCGGAUUAGCUAGUUGGCGGGGUAAAGGCCCACCAAGGCGACGAUCCGUAGCUGGUCUGAGAGGAUGAUCAGCCACACUGGAACUGAGACACGGUCCAGACUCCUACGGGAGGCAGCAGUGGGGAAUAUUGGACAAUGGGCGCAAGCCUGAUCCAGCCACACCGCGUGGGUGAAGAAGGCCUUCGGGUUGUAAAGCCCUUUUGUUGGGAAAGAAAUCCAUCUGGUUAAUACCCGGGUGGGAUGACGGUACCCAAAGAAUAAGCACCGGCCAACUUCGUGCCAGCCGCCGCGGUAA
RNAcentral lists this ribosomal RNA (506 nucleotides) under uncultured bacterium. Its description in RNAcentral is "partial 16S ribosomal RNA". It matches the Rfam family "Bacterial small subunit ribosomal RNA", at positions 29 to 523 of the family's 1533-position model. The record is from RNAcentral.